GAUCCUGGCUCAGGACGAACGCUGGCGGCGUGCUUAACACAUGCAAGUCGAACGGAGCACCCUUGACUGAGGUUUCGGCCAAAUGAUAGGAAUGCUUAGUGGCGGACUGGUGAGUAACGCGUGAGGAACCUGCCUUUCAGAGGGGGACAACAGUUGGAAACGACUGCUAAUACCGCAUGAUGCGUAACUGGGACAUCCCGGAUACGCCAAAGAUUUUAUCGCUGAAAGAUGGCCUCGCGU
Molecule: ribosomal RNA, 240 nt
Filed under: uncultured bacterium
Lineage: Bacteria
Description: partial 16S ribosomal RNA
Rfam family: Bacterial small subunit ribosomal RNA
Source: RNAcentral